Lottia gigantea (owl limpet) is the source of this 70-nucleotide microRNA precursor. It matches the Rfam family "mir-71 microRNA precursor family". Lineage: Eukaryota; Metazoa; Mollusca; Gastropoda; Lottiidae. The record is from Rfam.
UCUUUGUGAAAGACAAGGGUAGUGAGAUGAUUCAAUAAUACCAUCUUACUACUCUGUCUUUUGCAUAGAU